UUUCAUCACUUCAGGGGCAAA
Molecule: non-coding RNA, 21 nt
Filed under: Arabidopsis thaliana (thale cress)
Lineage: Eukaryota; Viridiplantae; Streptophyta; Magnoliopsida; Brassicales; Brassicaceae
Source: RNAcentral